Molecule: long non-coding RNA, 3268 nt
Organism: Lagenorhynchus albirostris (white-beaked dolphin)
Lineage: Eukaryota; Metazoa; Chordata; Mammalia; Artiodactyla; Delphinidae
Exons: 4
Source: RefSeq, a predicted model, not a curated record
UCCUCGUAGUUCCAGAGGCUGGGACGUCCAAGUUCGAGUCAGAAUCAGUUCUUGGUGAGGGCUCUCUCCUGCCUUGUUAGACAGCUGUCUUCUCCCUAUGUUCUCAUAUGGCCUUUCCACAGUAUAGAGAGUCUGUCUUCCUUUUCUUAUGAGUGCUAAUCAUCACAAGGGUCCCACUCAUGACUUCAUCUGAACUUAAUUAUUCCCCAAAGCCCCACCUCCUAAAACCAUCACACUGGGAGUUGGGGCUUAGACAUAUGAAUUUGGCAGGGGGUGGGGAAUGAGUGCAUCACAAACAUUCAGCCCAUUAUCCCAUUCCACUUGCCAGUGAGUGGUUCCGGCAUGGGCCUUCUCUCUUCCUAAAGAAGAUGACAGAGAGGCAAGGGCUCUCUCCUUUCUCUACCUGGGGUAUCUGGUGUCGGGGCCAACCACUUGCUGCCAGCCUAAGGACAGGGCCAGCACAGAGAGGGCAGAGUCAAGAGCAUCAUAGGACUGGGAGCUAGAACCCUGAUUUUCCUGUCUACAGACAAGCUGUUUCAUUUUGGCUCUCGUUCUGCCUCAACCCUGACCUGCCUCAAUCAGCAGCUGAGCAAAGAAAAAAGAAAACGUGCAAUAGUUCAGGGAGGUCAGUAUGUCACUUGGUCUCUCUCCUGAAAACCUCUGAUCUGAACCCAAAAGAAAUCCAUGCACACACUUCUUUACACCUCUGUUUAUUCUCCCUUCUCAUGAAAACCACUGACAUGUGCCUUUCAUGGAGGAGGGAAGACAAUGCUGCAAGAGUGUUCAGGAUCCCUAGGCUGAAUUCUCAGGUGGUAACCUAGGAAGCCAGACAUCCAGGAGGCCAGGCCCCUAGGGUCCUGGAGCUGGGGCAGCCCCUGAAGAGAAGUUCGGAGGGCAGCUCCACAUGGGCCCCAUGAGCUCUUCUUCUCAGCCCAGGGAGCUCAUCAGGGUCUGGGCCUGCUUCAGUUCUGCAGGGGCAAGAGGUAGGUAGGCAGGCGGCAAUUAGGCAGGAUGUGGGAGGGCCCCUUACCCUCCAGGUAUACAGCUGAGGCUCACCUGCCAGGAGGACCUGGAACUUGUCUGCUGAGAGGGACAUGGUAACAGGCUGGGCCGGGGCACCCGAGGCAGCUGCCACCUCCAGCCGCAGGUGCACCAUGGGCUCUUCCACGGACCGCAGCAGGCUAGAACUCAGGGUGUAGUCCACCCGCCAGCCCACGCCUGUCAGCCUGUUCACUGCAAGACCGAAAGGGGCUCAGGGUCACAGACAGGGGAGCCAGGCAGCCCUAGCCCAUACCCUGGUUCAGCCCUGAACCCUUCAGGGCCAUGUGGCCUUUGAGAAGCUCUCAUCCCUCUGAUCCAGGAGCUCAGAUUACCCGUAGCAGAUCUCAGAGGAAAGAAACCGGGGCUGGUGUCAGGAAUCCCAGCUCUGUGACUGCUCGACAUGUGAUGUGGUUAAGUCUCCUUUCUGAGGACAAACACCUCCCAAGCCACAUGCACCUUCUAGAAUGGAGCCCAGCCCCCACCCGGGCGCCCCACACUCACCUCGCAAGCUGCAGGCCCGCAGGUGCUCCUGCAGGGAGCUUUGCUUCUCCUCAUAACAGCGACACAGGCUGGCUGCAUGCUCUGGGGGCCGAAGGGAGGUCCCCUGAGCUAGCAGGUUACCCACCUGCCUGCCCUCAACCCUGUACCUUUGGGCAGCCCCAGCUGCUGCAGUUCACUGGACAAGGACUCGCCAUCCACGCUAUGCUUGGCCGCACUGGAGAGGAUGAAACUCAGCACUGCCACUGUGGCCUUCACAUCACCCGACUCUGGGGGGAGCCGUGGGUGGAAUGGGGGGUGUCACUGUGGCCCCAGCCACCUCCUUGACACCCCACUAUCUUCAGCUCAGAGCCCCCAGGCCUCCUUGAGCCAUGAGCACCGCUACUGCCCCACUGGGAGUGGGCAGAGGACCCUAGGGCUGGCAAUGUCUUUCUUCCCUCAUGCUCCUCUGCUGAGGCAGGUGGGUCAGAGUGGGGUGUUGGGAGGAGGGGCCUCUGUGCCGGGCCCCAGGCUGAAUACCCGGGUUUGCCCGGGUCUGCGGACCCAGUGGAGUACUCACCAAACCUGGCAUCAGCGGUGAGCUUCAGGAUCUUCUCAUACUGUGGAGAAAGGAGGCCCUCAAGGGGUGCCAGACCCCCGCUCACUAGCCCCCAGUCCCUGGCCUGGAUCCUGUGAAGGUCCUUCAGCACCUGGCUACACAGCAGCCUCAGCUUCACGGAGGACUGGAGGGGAAGGCCUUACAUCAGCCAGACUGACCCACCUCACCCCUCCAUGCUGGUGGGCUGGCUCAGAGAAGGCUGGCCACAUACCUGACCAGUCACACAGCAUGUUCGGACAGCCCGAGAGCGCUAAGGCCCCAGCCCAAGAGUGACCUCCCCACCCUCCACCCUCAGAGCCCCCACCCCCAAGACCCCAUGCACUCAACGAUUUUGGCCAGCGUGCUGAUCUCUGCCAGGACCCAGUCAGGACAGUCCAGGUCACCACAGAACCGGAACCUCUGCAAGGGAGUAAGCUCCAGCCAUACUGGCCUCCCUGCUGCCCCUGUUGCAGAUUAAACAUGGCUUGCUCUCACUUCACUCAGGUCUCUGCUCGAAUGACACCUCUUCUGAUGGACUUUCUCUGACUGUGCUUUCAUAAAUAGCCCCUCACACAAGGAAAUUUUUGGGGUCAGUGGGUGUAUUCAUUAUCUUGAUCAUGGUAAUGUUUUCAUGAGCAUAUAUGCAUUGAAACUUAUUGAACCAUAUAUUUGCACACACAUGGUUUGUUUUAUGUCGAUUUUAUCUCAAGGAAGCUGUUAAAAAAAAUAAAACAGCUCUUCACCAUCAUGCUUUAGCUGUUUAUCUUUCCUUCUUGAUCUCCAUGGCAUUUAUCACAGAAUAUAUCACGUUUUAUUACUUAUUCAAGGCCCAUCUCCUCUGUUAGGAUGCAAACCCACCUGGUUAACCACAUCUUGACAAUAUCGUCCACCCCCCGAUCAACUGUCCUUUGUCCUGUUUCUGUGGCAAAGCUCUAACGCACAGCAGUAUACAUGUUCAUCUUCCCAUGCCUCUGUCUGGGCUGCUUACAGAUGAUGGGAACAAAACCCGCAAACUGGGUACACGGUCAGUCCACGUUCUCCUGAUUUUGCUGGGCCCUCAGUGCAGCCCCAUAAUCCCAUGUCCUCUACUUGGCCCCAUCGUUCACCUUAUCAAUCACUUCAGACCUGCUCCAUGACCCUUCAACCUCCAAU